Xiphophorus couchianus (Monterrey platyfish) is the source of this 1046-nucleotide long non-coding RNA. RefSeq lists it as uncharacterized. NCBI's taxonomy places the organism in Eukaryota, Metazoa, Chordata, Actinopteri, Cyprinodontiformes, Poeciliidae. The record is from RefSeq and is a predicted model, not a curated record. The transcript is spliced from 2 exons.
CACGAUAAAAACAUGACAAGAAAAGUAAAUGUCACAUAAGAGGAAAGGAUUCUGGCAGCAGCUUUCUGGAUUUUUUUCCUUUCUUUUACAGAGGCCUGUAUGAAAAAUAUUGAAAUUGUCUAACCUACUGAAUUUUUAUUUUUAAACCGGUUUUUAUGUCCUCUUUAGACUAGGGUGACCAGACGUCCCCGAUUUCCGGGGACAGUCCCCGUUUUAGAUGGCCUGUCCCCGGCUGAAGCGGUCCCCGGAAAAGUCCCCGAUUUUAGCGUUUUAUGAAUGAGGGGAAAAAAAGUUUCCUCUAGAUUGUUAUUACGGUAGCCGGAGACUCCAUAUGACAGGGAGUAGAAAGCGCGAGUGAGCGUGUUGCGCGCAACAGCAGCAGUUACGGUAGCCGCUCGCGCUACUGUUGACGUUCCAGAGAAGAGCAGCAGAGCGAACAGCCAAUAAAAAUCAAGAAGAGCAGCGCGCGCUGCCAGGAAGGACAACAAGCUGUAAGAGGAGAGCUGGAGUUUUGAGCAGCUUCCAAGGGAACUGACCUGUGAUAUGUGGCAGACUGAUAAAAUGUGAGACAGGAGGAAAAUAUCCUGAUAAACUGAAUGAAUGAAGAAAACAGGAAAACUGACAAAGCUGGAGAGAAAUAUGAAAUAUAAACAUUAUUAUUAUUUAAUUGUGUCUUAUAUGUUGUAUUUUAAGUGUUUCUCUUUGCUAUCACCUGUGGUGUUUUCAGUUUUUCACAUAAUCUUUUCUGCUCUUAUUCUAUCCAGACCUCUAUGAUCAUGUGGCUGAUGGCUCUUCAGACCCAGGAGGGUUUGCAGAUCCAGAGAUGAGCUCAUGUUGGUGGACUUCCUGACCAGAGUUCACUCAUCUCAAACACACACAGUGUCCUUACAUAUCAGCUACAUAACUUUACACACACACCUCCUGUAUUUAUGGACAGUUAUGUGUCCAUUCAUGCACAACAUUCACAGGUGGACGAAGUUGUUGGUGUCUUCUGUUAAUGACUGAAAAACCCAAAGUGGCACUGAAACAACUUGACACAAACAAAA